UGAGCAAUCUGCCCUUCUCAUCGGAAUAAGCGUUGGAAACGACGUCUAAUGCCGAAUACGACCUCCUUUCGCAUGAUCGGAGGUGGAAAGCUCCGGCGGAGAAGGAUGAGCUCGCGGCCUAUCAGCUAGUUGGUGAGGUAACGGCUCACCAAGGCGACGGACGGGUAGCUGGUCUGAGAGGAUGGCCAGCCACAUUGGGACUGAGACACCGGCCCAGAUCCGUACGGGG
Molecule: ribosomal RNA, 229 nt
Filed under: uncultured bacterium
Lineage: Bacteria
Description: partial 16S ribosomal RNA
Rfam family: Bacterial small subunit ribosomal RNA
Source: RNAcentral